Molecule: transfer RNA, 73 nt
Filed under: Chloroflexota bacterium
Lineage: Bacteria; Bacillati; Chloroflexota
Also listed under: 1 other name
Description: tRNA-Arg
Rfam family: tRNA
About the family: Transfer RNA (tRNA) molecules are approximately 80 nucleotides in length. Their secondary structure includes four short double-helical elements and three loops (D, anti-codon, and T loops).
Source: RNAcentral
GUCCCUGUAGCUCAGGGGACAGAGCAGCUGCCUUCUAAGCAGCGGGUCGCAGGUUCGAAUCCUGCCAGGGACG